This 5452-nucleotide long non-coding RNA is filed under the name Monomorium pharaonis (pharaoh ant). Its description in RNAcentral is "uncharacterized LOC118644806". Lineage: Eukaryota; Metazoa; Arthropoda; Insecta; Hymenoptera; Formicidae. The record is from RNAcentral.
GAGAGAGAGAGAGAGAGAGAGAGAGAGAGAGAGAGAGAGAGAGAGGGAGAGAGAUAUCCUCGACUACCAGCCAGUCAGCCAGCCCCGGCCAACAUCGACCGGGUAUUGUCGCGUCUGCGCUUGCGUCACUGUUAUCCAGGACUAUCAACCUUGCCUCAAUUCCUGAUCGUCCGUUUUCCGUGUCCCCGUUCGUACUUGUGUGUGCGCGCGUGUGUGCCGGGGCUACGUGUAUACACGCGCGUGCACACGCGCGUGCCUACGUGCGCGCCACGGACACGCGAUGCCCGCGCGACUCGCGCGCGAUAUCAUCCUCCGCAGUGAGCGAGGCGUCGCGCGUCGCGCGCCGGCCGAUCGAGCGGCCGAUCAAAUCGAUGAACGCGUAGGUUUCUCGCAUUCGCGGAUAGUCAUUUUCUGCAUGAUCAAUGAGACUCCAAAUAUGUGAAAACUGACGCGCGUAUCGGCAAAAGGGUCGUUGCCUGGCUGCACUAUUUAGCAGCAACGUUAAUAACGUUUACCUACGGCGAUUUUGUUGCUGACUUGCCGUUAGCGGCCAAAAUUUGUACAUCGACAUCGUACACGAAACCGCAUGCCGAUUGCUACUGUAUCACCCAUCAGUGACAAGUCGUUUGCCGAUUUGUCAAGAUUAUUGAUGGUCCUAUCGAUGGAUAAAUGCUUUACGUCCGACUGCACUCGUCGUACGAGUUAUUGUUGCUUCAGCAAAAUUAGUCCCACGAAAAUAUUCCAGUUAAGCAAAGAUAAUUGUACAUAUACAAAUAUCGAAAGAAAAAUGUAAGUUGCAAGAAUAUAAAUAAAAAUAGAAAUGUAAUGUGAAAUUUGUUAGUAUAUAUACAAAGGCCUUGUAGUUUAGCCUUUCUAUUGGAAAGAUAUUAAAAUAUUGUGUAAAUGCAAUUUCUCUUUAUAAUUUAUAUCAGUUAACGGAAUAUAUGAAGAAAUAUGUCUAUAAAAAUCAAACAAGUCCAUUUUUUUUAUCUUAAUUAUGGCGCCAAAUCAUUCUUUAUUGGUAGCGUUACAUCACAAAUAAUUUUAUUAUUCUUACAAGACUCAAUAAUUUCAAGGGCCCAUUUUUUAAAAUAAAUUUACAAAAUAUUACUCGAAAUCUAAAACAAAGUUUUAUACUUUAUAUGUUCGGAGAAAAAUUAUCAUAUUUGCACAAUGAACAAUUUAAAAAUAAGGUUUUCUAAAAAUUUAAUUUUUUGUAUUAAUUUUUGCAGGAAACUCUAUCUAUAUAAUAUUCACACAAUUUAUUUGUUCAUAAUUUAUUAAAAAAGGCUCUUAAUCCAUUGAUAUACUACAUGUAUUGAUAUAUUAUAUUACUAAAAAAUAAAAAUGCAAUAUUAAAAAAAAUAGUCAUGUGUCACAUCGUGUAAAGAGUGAUGAGAAAAUAUUUCAAAUGUUAUACGUCCGAACUAAAAUCUCCUGCAAGAUCCUUCCCCCAAAUACUCCGCGCAAGAAGGCAGAAACCCCAUGUCCAAUAUGAAAUCGAUUAUUAACGUCGACUUCGUCGAAGAACCGAGAUCCACCAGCGGCAUGGAACGGCUUUCGAGGUUAUACGACGUGCUCGGAAAGCUUUCGCAGCGCCAAUACAAUGAAUGAUGUCAAUAUAGGGAAAAAACGUUUCAAAGCUUUUACGCACGCCGCCAUGAACUUAUCAAUGUCGCUUUUAUGUUCUACAUUGUUGACGGAAUCGCAAAAUCGCCCACACAUGUCACUAAAUUCGAUUAUCCUGCUGAAAUGACUGACGGGUUACAGAGUUUCGACCAAAAACGAUUUCGUCAUGGUAUAUUUGCAAGUAUUUAUUCCGAUAUGAGAUGAAAAAACAACGAUAAAACGAUGUGAUGUAUUAAUGUACAUUAAUAAUGCAUUUUAUAAAUAAUAAAUUGUACCAGCGCGCAACGAAAAAUGCGCGGCGUUAUUUAUUACCGCUUCUGUUUCCCGGCUCCAUUAACGCUCAUUUCGAAUCAAUUUAGUCAAGUCAAUGUAAAAUAAUUAGAUUAUAAAUAUAACAAAAAAAUAAUAGUAGGUACACAAAGUAGCAACGUAUUCAUUAAUAAUUUCUAAUGGUAGCAAAUUUAUUUCAGCAUCUCUUUGCAGUUUUCAGAGAAACACUUUUAAUAUAAAAAGUAUAAUAUUAAUUGAAGAAUGAUCCUCUUAACAAGUAGAUUUAAAAUAAUAAAAGAAAACUAAAUGCUAAAGGCUUUAAUAAAUAUACUAAUGUUAAAAAGGUGUACGUAAACGCAGCAUAAUCUUAUGUUCUACGAAAACGUGAUUCUUUUGUACGUUCUCUUUUGGGCUCUUUAGAAAUCCAUUCUAAGCGGUUAUUAAAUGACGCUCUCGUGCAGGGUUGGAUCGUCCACUUGGUGCCAGAAGCAAUCGUACUCUGUCACCCCACUCCGAAAACUAUGAGGCGUUUAAUUAACUCCGGGGAGGCCAGGAAAGAGAGACCGUAGAAUUCACAUGCAAAUGUUCUGUGACACGAUUGCGGAACAACCAUUUCUUUUUCCAACUGAAACUCGGCUACCAAAACGACCACCGACUUUUGACACUUCGUCCCAACUAAUUGUAAGUUUCACACGGAAAUAUCGUCAUUUUAACAAAGAAAACAAAAUUCACGUAAAAAGUAUUCAAUAUAAAAAGAACACGUAAAAAGUAUUUAAAAAGGACGCUAUAUACGUAUCUUUCUUCGAAGCGUAUUGUCACCUCAAAAAUAGCGUUCAGAAAAAUAAAAUAUUCCAAUGAGAAGACGCCAAGAAAAAGUGAAAAGAAACUAAUUAUUAUAGUUAUAUAUGAAAGAAUGCUCGUUAGAAAUGCUAAUGUUAUUAUAACAUCGUAAAAAUAACGAUUACGACGAGACCGAUAAUGUAAAGUAAUUUCGAAUCAUCAUGAUGAUGUAACGCAAAUAUCCGCAACGCAUCAUUGGUAGAGAACGUAAAAAAAAGUUUCACUUCUACAUGGCCUGUCGUUAGUGUAAUCGGAUGCGCGAAUGAGUCACCAUGCCGCAAGAAAAUGAUGGACGCGAUCGCGCAAUCGCGAGUAGUCAAGUCACGCAUAGAUCAGCCAGAAAGUAAAGAAUGCUGUAAUCGACAGACUAAUAAUACCUGAGAAAGUUGGCCGACAUUAACGCGAUUGCACGUUAAUCUCGCAUUAAAAUCAUUACAGUUUUUUUACUUUUCUUUUGCCGACAUACAGAAUGCUCACAAAAAUUGUAGAUUCUAUUAAAAUUAUUAACAUGUAGAUUUUAUUACUUCAUAGCAACAGACGAUUAAAAAUGCAUCAUUAAUUAUUAAAACUGUCUACAAUUUAAUGGUUUGUAUUGUAUAUGUUUAGUUUUUUGUUUUAUUUAUUGUUUUGUUAACUCGAAAAUUUCUUGUGUAAGAAUAUACAGUAUUGCAAUAAAAGCUGAUUAUGUAAAACUAAUGGUUUCUAUAUAAAGAGUGCAAACAUGAUAUAUUAUUAUGUUAUAUAGAAAUAUGUCUGUAUAUUAAAAAAAAAUACAAUUGUAAUAAAAGUAAUGUCAAAAUAUAUCUUAAAUUUUGCACAUACUUAAAUGUUAUGAUUAGUUAACUUUAGUGUAACUUUAAUUUUUCAGAUAUUAUCGUUCAUUGUUACGUGCAAAGUAUAAAAAAAUUCGCGCACCCGGAAAUUAAAGAUGACACAUCGCACGUCGCUUAAUUUACAUUCUCGUCGGGCAAUGCGAUUAUAUCUUAAAUUAUUAUACAUCGGGUGUUCAACAUUUUUCCAAUAAAUGGCAUUUAUAAGCGAAAGAAGUGGUGCACCUUCACUCUGAAAUCGAUCGAUGGUAUUCCACUCACGCGUUUACGAUGCGAAACGUAAGAAGGCGAUUAAUCGCGAGUAAGAGUCUUCGAAUCGGGGGAGAGAAAGAGAAAUAAAACACCAUGAAACGUAAGGACGAAGGACACAGAAAACGGAACGACGGCAAGCCGAUCACCGGCUUUGACGAUUCGAGUUCCCUCGCGAAAGGCGAACCGCGCCGUUGCUGGUGAUAAGAUCGCAAUGAGAUGAUGAGAAAUUGUUUUUACCCGCACUCUCGCACUGUCCCCGCGUACGAUACACACAAGAUCUGCACUUCCGAAGGAUAAACGGAGGAGAAAAAAAAAAUUACUAAAUCCUACCUGAUUCAAUGGUUGAAUCCAUUGAGCAGCGGUUUGAUAUCGCCGAGGGAUAUCUCUGUUCUUUUGAAAGCAAGCCCGGGAUUUGAAGGAAGAAGGAUACGUUGGCGAAGGAGCAAGUCUUUGAAAGAGGAAGCGGAAGGAGAUCCCGAGUGCCAACGGGAAGAGAGGGAUGGACGAAAGAAGGAGCGAGAAGAGGGCUUACUCUGACAAUACAUCCGCUCUCCGGGGGUGCAACGCGAGGGAGUGCUGACUGACAGACAGCUCCUGUCUACUAGAUAUCCGAGCAAAACCUACACCUCUCUCCUACAUGCUGUAUAGUAUCAGCCAUCCUGUUGGGAGAGAUCUACCACCUCUUCUAUAAAUCACAAAAGGGAAAGCACGCGCUUCUAAAAGUCGGAACUCUUAGAAACGUUUCAAUAAAUGUGCAUUAUAAGAUUUCCUUUUGUGAUCGCCCAUAAUCAAGGAAUAUCCUGUUUGAUCAGAAACGUUUCGCGUCUCUCUACACAAUGUACUAUAUACAGUACCGUCAUUCGGGGUUGCAGGAUAUCCGACAAAAUACCCAGGGAAAGUUUUUUAACGUAGUGACGUAGCACGAGAGCGACUAUCGCCGAUAGACAAUUGCUCGCCUCCUUGUAACAAGAACGCUCGUUUCUGCUGCUUAAUAAAGCAACUCUCUCCUUUUACGACGCGAUAUAGGUACAGGAAUCCUACCGCCGUAAAAAUCUUUCCCCCGAGUCGAGAAACUCUCCCCCACCUGGGUUACGUUCGUCGAUCGGUGGGGCAGCCAUAAACGAGAGCGAUUUAUAUCAAACCUUUGGACGAUGACUCGCGGCGAUCGUAAUGGGACACCCGGUAGAAUGGACCGUAGGCGGCGGACAGCGCGUUUUGCGGUGACAGAGCGUGUCUGAUGGAGGGUUGUCACGGUGCGGGAGCACCCCUCAGACUUCGAUAUUAAAGCCCUCCUCUAAUAUAAGAGCAAAAGCUCCGCUCUCUCUACCGUCGAUAUGCUCGCCUCAAAUCUUUUUCCCUUCCUAAAGGCAGUGAUAUCGCGCUUGUGUGUCGUUAUAUUCAUACGCGUAAGCCCGAUAAAAGGGGAGAAGGGAAAACUAAAGGGUAGUCUCGGUUAAAACUCGCGUGCGCGCGAGAUUUUUUUUAAGCACCGACCCUCAGCGAAAGAGCGAAAUCUAUUUAAGAGAAUAUAUCUUCUGCCUUCUAAUUUGUGUAUCUCUUGAUGAGUGGAGAUGGAAAAGAACUGAGCUGGAUUAGUUCGAGAGUGAACAUAUAUCGCGCAAAACAUAAAA